AUGAUGAAACUGGAUGAUACUGAUGAUGAUGAAGAAUUGGAGGAUAUAGGCAACAGCCAAGCCAUUGAAGAAGAGGUAACUAUAAUCUCCUCCGACUCAGAGCCUUUGCCGAGGUUGAAAAUCCGAAGAGUAACCCGGAAAGUAAGAUUUUCACAUCCUUUAGCUUACCAAGAUCCUCAAUUUCGUUUGAAGCGACAGAUUUAUGAGAGCCGGAGGCAGACCCGGACCAGCAAAGACGCGGAACUCUCCUCCGGCUUACCUGAUGUGUCCAGGAAGCGCCAGGCUGAGGUUUUCUCCGAUUUACACCUUCUUUUUCCUUUGGCGGGUUUCAUUCGUCAGCCUCUCAAUUCCUCUGACUCCAAAUAUCAGGAUACUCCACCUUCCUCCGGUGAGUCUAUGCAGUCCAACAUGCCGGCCUUCAAAACUGCUCCCGGGUAA
This 438-nucleotide ribosomal RNA is filed under the name Triticum aestivum (bread wheat). Its description in RNAcentral is "partial small subunit ribosomal RNA". Lineage: Eukaryota; Viridiplantae; Streptophyta; Magnoliopsida; Poales; Poaceae. The record is from RNAcentral.